Molecule: ribosomal RNA, 253 nt
Filed under: uncultured bacterium
Lineage: Bacteria
Description: partial 16S ribosomal RNA
Rfam family: Bacterial small subunit ribosomal RNA
Source: RNAcentral
GACAGAGGAUGCAAGCGUUAUCCGGAAUGAUUGGGCGUAAAGCGUCUGUAGGUGGCUUUUCAAGUCCGCCGUCAAAUCCCAGGGCUCAACCCUGGACAGGCGGUGGAAACUACCAAGCUGGAGUACGGUAGGGGCAGAGGGAAUUUCCGGUGGAGCGGUGAAAUGCGUAGAUAUGCGGAGGAACACCGAUGGCGAAGGCAAUCCCCUGGGCCUGCACUGACGCUCAUGCACGAAAGCGUGGGGAGCAAACAGG